Aspergillus bertholletiae is the source of this 141-nucleotide non-coding RNA. Lineage: Eukaryota; Fungi; Ascomycota; Eurotiomycetes; Eurotiales; Aspergillaceae. The record is from the annotation of a GenBank genome assembly.
GCCCCCGUAGCGCAAUGGUAGCGCGUAAGACUGUAUGUUCACACCGUCGCAACCUUUGCCUUCCUGACAUCAUAACUAAUAAAUCAAUAGUCUAGCUUACAAGCGAUCUUAAGGUUGCGAGUUCGAGCCUCGCCGGGGGCU